UACGUAGGGUGCAAGCGUUAAUCGGAAUUACUGGGCGUAAAGCGUGCGCAGGCGGUUUUGUAAGUCUGUCGUGAAAUCCCCGGGCUCAACCUGGGAAUUGCGUUGGAGACUGCAAGGCUAGAAUCUGGCAGAGGGGGGUAGAAUUCCACGUGUAGCAGUGAAAUGCGUAGAUAUGUGGAGGAACACCGAUGGCGAAGGCAGCCCCCUGGGUCAAGAUUGACGCUCAUGCACGAAAGCGUGGGGAGCAAACAGG
RNAcentral lists this ribosomal RNA (253 nucleotides) under uncultured bacterium. RNAcentral's name for it is "partial 16S ribosomal RNA". It matches the Rfam family "Bacterial small subunit ribosomal RNA", at positions 524 to 776 of the family's 1533-position model. The record is from RNAcentral.